This 85-nucleotide transfer RNA is filed under the name Polaribacter sp. KT25b. It matches the Rfam family "tRNA". Rfam says of the family: Transfer RNA (tRNA) molecules are approximately 80 nucleotides in length. Their secondary structure includes four short double-helical elements and three loops (D, anti-codon, and T loops). RNAcentral also lists the same sequence under 1 other name. Lineage: Bacteria; Pseudomonadati; Bacteroidota; Flavobacteriia; Flavobacteriales; Flavobacteriaceae. The record is from Rfam by way of RNAcentral.
AGAAAGGUGGCCGAGUGGUCGAAGGCGCACGCCUGGAAAGUGUGUAUACGGCAACGUAUCGAGGGUUCGAAUCCCUUCCUUUCUG